RNAcentral lists this long non-coding RNA (311 nucleotides) under Capsicum annuum. RNAcentral's name for it is "long non-coding RNA (CANN_LNC015572)". Lineage: Eukaryota; Viridiplantae; Streptophyta; Magnoliopsida; Solanales; Solanaceae. The record is from RNAcentral.
UGGAAUAAUAUUAUCUUCUCCAUUACAUCUUGAACAUUGAUGAUCUGGGUAAUUGUGUCCAAUUAUUUUACAAUAUCUUGUUAGUAGUACGUCUGAAAUAAAUCCUUUUUUAAUUGCUCUUGCGGUAGAUUGUUUUUCUGGGUUGAGUAAUGUCAUUAUCCAUUGUCUGACAUCCUCCAUAUCUGCUUGACGUAGCUCUUUUGAAUUAGAGUAAAUCAUUUGAUGAUCUCUCGAAUAAUAGCUCCAUAUUGGGUUUCCAUUAGUAUAAUUAUUUGCUAGUUCUUGAAUAAUCGUAGCUAGUCCAAUAAGUC